CAGUACGCAUGCGCGAGCCUGGAGACGGUAGUACGCAUGCGCCACAGCAUAGACAGCAGUACGCAUGCGCGAGUUUCGAGACGGCAGUACGCAUGCGCGAGUCGCGAGACGUUAGUACGCAUGCGCGGCCACCGAGAUGGCAGUACGCAUGCGCGACUUUCGAGACGGCAGUACGCAUGCGCGUGCCUGGAGAUGGUAGUACGCAUGCGCGAGGUUCGAGACGGCAGUACGCAUGCACAACAUUCUGGACGGCAGUACGCAUGCGGGAGACGCGAGCCGGUAGUACACAUGCGCGAGGCUCGAGACGGCAGUGGCAGCAGAUACCGUGGAAACAACAACUCUGCCGCCUUUUAGCGGACUGCCUGGGACCGUGGGCGCGCAUCCCCUCCUCUCUUUUUUUUCUUGGCAGAGGAUGGUGGGAGGAAGAAGGGGAGACGACAAAGAAAAGCAAGGAAAACUUCGACAAACCCUCCAACCCCGUGCUAAAUGCUUUGGUAUACC
This is a long non-coding RNA of Gallus gallus (chicken), 501 nucleotides long. Lineage: Eukaryota; Metazoa; Chordata; Aves; Galliformes; Phasianidae. The record is from Ensembl.